CCUACGGGAGGCAGCAGUGAGGAAUAUUGGUCAAUGGCCGAGAGGCUGAACCAGCCAAGUCGCGUGAGGGAAGACGGCCCUACGGGUUGUAAACCUCUUUUGUCGGGGAGCAAAGCCAGUCACGUGUGACUCAUUGAGAGUACCCGAAGAAAAAGCAUCGGCUAACUCCGUGCCAGCAGCCGCGGUAAUACGGAGGAUUCGAGCGUUAUCCGGAUUUAUUGGGUUUAAGGGGUGCGCAGGCGGAGGAGCAAGUCAGCGGUAAAAUUGCGGGGCUCAACCCCGUACUGCCGUUGAAACUGCAUCCCUUGAGUGCGCGAGAAGUAUGCGGAAUGCGUGGUGUAGCGGUGAAAUGCAUAGAGAUCACACAGAACUCCGAUUGCGAAGGCAGCAUACCGGCGCGCAACUGACGCUCAUGCACGAAAGCGUGGGUAUCGAACAGGAUUAGAUACCCCAGUAGUC
This 459-nucleotide ribosomal RNA is filed under the name uncultured bacterium. RNAcentral's name for it is "partial 16S ribosomal RNA". It matches the Rfam family "Bacterial small subunit ribosomal RNA", at positions 338 to 795 of the family's 1533-position model. The record is from RNAcentral.